CAGCAGAAUGUGCUGACAGUGCAGUGUUGAAGCCAGGAGACCCUCUGUUUCCUCUUAGAGUAGAUAGUGAGGUCCCCAGCCUGUUGUUCCCAGGCUGAAACUGUGUAAUGACCCACCAGAGGAAGGGACAGAGGAGCCAGCCAGUUUCCCAACUGGGCCAGAGUAGUCUAGUCCUGGUGUAGCCCCUGCCAGACAUGAUGGGGUCUGCUCUGAGAAACGACACAGCUCCUAAGGGCUUGGGCCCAGGUAUCGACCACCUCAGCCUCGUGUCCGGCACAGAGUGAUGACCUUGGGAGACCCUGAUGGGACUAGCCACCUGGGGAGCUCUCGGCUGUGCGAGCUCCCUUCCCAGCACUUCACUCAUGGUAACUUCUCGAAGCUCUGAGUAUAGGACAGCUGGGUACCCAGUCUGAGGCCCAGAGAGGCAGUGAUUUUCCGAAAGGCAAGCCCGGAUCUCAUCUCAUCUCUGUAGGAACUCAGGGACACCUUGAGUUCCACCCCCAGCCCCCAUUCCAGGGGGGUCCGAACCACAGUCAGGGCUUGGCUGGUGGUGGGGGACACUUCCUGGAGCCCCCCUCCACCGCAACCUGCGCCCGCCCAGGCUUCGGAUUUCAGCCAGCCUUGGGGUGAGCGGCCUGUUCUGCCCUGUGCCCGAGAGGAAUGUUCGCGGUGGCAUGGGCCCGGGUCCGAGAAGAAAGGCAGCCUUGUGGGCGAAAGGGUACUCGCUGGACACCUCUGAAGCCACACUGUGCACCUGCUUCCUUGUCCCUAGCCCACCCCGUUCCAGCUCACAGCUCACAGCUCCUGCUUGAUGCACAGGCUCUGACAGACCUUGCAGUGACCUGAGAAGCCACCAGCAUCAAGUGAGUGAAGCAGGAGGCCAUGCAGCUGAGGUACCAGACCACCAGGGCCAGCAUCAACUGUGAAAUGCCAACUGUGUCUGUGUGUGGUGGCACACACUUGUAACCCCAAGAGUUCAAGAUCAUCCACAGGGGGGUUGG
This 1001-nucleotide small RNA is filed under the name Rattus norvegicus (Norway rat). Its description in RNAcentral is "uncharacterized LOC103691970". The record is from RNAcentral. Lineage: Eukaryota; Metazoa; Chordata; Mammalia; Rodentia; Muridae.